UACAGAGGGUGCGAGCGUUGUCCGGAAUCACUGGGCGUAAAGGGCGCGUAGGCGGUGGCGUAAGCGUGCGGUGAAAGCUCGGGGCUCAACCCCGAGUCGGCCGUGCGAACUGGGCCACUGGAGCAGAUCAGAGGCAGGCGGAAUUCCGGGUGUAGCGGUGGAAUGCGUAGAGAUCCGGAAGAACACCGGUGGCGAAGGCGGCCUGCUGGACCUUAACUGACACUGAGGGACGAAAGCUAGGGGAGCGAAUGGG
Molecule: ribosomal RNA, 253 nt
Filed under: uncultured bacterium
Lineage: Bacteria
Description: partial 16S ribosomal RNA
Rfam family: Bacterial small subunit ribosomal RNA
Source: RNAcentral